Long non-coding RNA from Hypanus sabinus (Atlantic stingray), 2775 nucleotides. RefSeq lists it as uncharacterized. The record is from RefSeq and is a predicted model, not a curated record. Lineage: Eukaryota; Metazoa; Chordata; Chondrichthyes; Myliobatiformes; Dasyatidae. The transcript has 3 exons.
UACUGAAUGGCGGUGCAGGAUCGAUGGUCCGAAUGGCCUACUCCUGCACCUAUUUUCUAUGUUUCUAUCCACCAUCAACCCUUUAAAUAUCAUUUGCCAGUCUGUCUUAGCUAAUUUACGUCUCAUAUAUUCAAAGUUGCCCUUCUUUAAGUUCAGAACAUUUGGUUCUGAAUUAACUAUGUCACUCUCCAUCUUAAUGAAGAAUUCCACCAUAUUAUGGUCACUCUUAUCCAAGGGGCCUCGCAUGACAAGAUUGCUAAUUAACCCUUUCUCAUUGCUCAAUACCCAGUCUAGAAUGGCCUGCUCUAUAGUUGGUUCCUUGACAUGCUGGUUCAGAAAACCAUCCCGCACACAUUCUAAGAAAUCCUCUUCCUCAGCACCCUUACCAAUUUGGUUCACCCAAUCUAUAUGUAGAUUGAAGUCACCCAUUAUAACUGCUGUUCCUUUUUUGCACGCAUUUCUAAUUUCCGGUUUAAUGCCAUCCCCAACCUCACUACUACUGUUAGGUGGCCUGUACACAAAUCCCACCAGCAUUUUAUGCCCCUUAGUGUUACACAGCUCUCCCCAUAUCGACGGCACAUCCUCCAGGCUAAUGUCUUUCCUCUCUAUUGCGUUAAUCUCUUCUCUAACCAGCAACGCUACCCCACCUCCUUUUCUUUCCUGUCUAUCCCUCCUGAAUAUUGAAUAUCCCUGGAUGAGCUCCUAUCCUUGGUCACCCUGGAGCCAUGUCUCUGUGAUUCCAACUAUAUCAUAUUCAUUAAUAACUAUCUACACAUUCAAUUCAUCCACCUUGUUACGAAUGCUCCUUGCAUUGACACACAAAGCCUUCAGGCUUGUUUUUACAACACUUUUAGCCCUUAACCAAUUAUGUUGAAAAAUGGCCCUUUUUGAUUUUUGCCCUGGAAUUGACUGCCUGCCACUUUUACUUUUCACCUUACUACUUUUUGCUUCUGCUCUCAUUUUGCACCCCUCUGUCUCUCUGCACUUGUUCCUAUCCCCCUGCCACAUUAGCUUAAACCCUCCUGAACAGCAUUAGCAAAUGUUCCCCCUAGGAUUAGGAGGAGGGACAGCCCUCAGCGAUUCCUGUGUAUGCUCCCUGGAAGCCUCAAGAAAUGAUAAUGAUCAUGAAUCAGGCCCCAGAUAGAAAAGAAAAAACAGCACAGUUUGCUCAGUGUCUCCACAGUACUAUACAAAUGUUUAAUGCGACUCCGUAAGAUUUAUUCAGUCUCUCCUGCAUGAUUUGCUCAGGUGAUGAGGGGCGAAAAUGGAAAGCAGAAUUGAGAUACCAAACCUAUCAGGAGUUACAGGCUGGAAAACAUAAUGAGAAUGAAAAGCUGGACCAGAUCAUUCAAGCUUUGUAAAGGGCUCUCCAGCAACCUGUGAACAUCACUAAAGUACCUGAAUGCAAACCUAAGCCUGGGAAUCGGGACCAGACUAUUGAGAGUGAUUUGUGGCCUGCUACAUUCACUUCGCAGGAGACCAAGACUUUAAUGAUGGGAAUCUGUCCUCCCUGUUCAAUGCCCUACUGCUCCAAUGCUUACCAACUAAGUUAGCCAACAUGAUUAAAACAAAUAAUAUGGAUAGGCCUGACAAUGACCAAAAUCUAAUGCGACGAGCUUUGACAUAUCAUUAGGACCCAACUUUCGAAUCCCGAUCAACCCCGAAGGGAACUAAUAUUAAAGGUGAAUAUGCUCAGCGGGAAGGACGCGAGCGGGCUAUAUCUGAGGAACAGAAAUGGGAGCAAAAACCUACCAAGGGACAGGUGGGGACAACAACCCAUUUAGAAACUGACAAGAAGAUGCUUCCAACCAUGAGUGCCAACCCUCAGGAAGAGCCCAAUUUAAUAUUGCAAGUUGCUGGAACUCCAGUUCCGUUUAUAAUUGAUAUGAGGGCAACCACAACCACUCUCGAUCAGGAAAUAGUAUCGGAAAAGGGAUUCCAGCUAUCAGACGCUACAAUCACUCUGUCUGGGUUCGAAGGCACGGAACGUACCUAUUCACGUACCCAGCCACUGCAGCUGGAAUUCCAGGGGAGCCAGUGUGAGGUUUCAUUUACAGUCACCACCAGACGGGGGGUGUAAUCUAGCAGGGACAGACUUGCUCUGUCCGUUGGAAGUCGAGAUUCUUUGCACAGACAAUGCUGUCACCCUUGUCAGGAGAACAACCGACAGCUUCCCCAGUUUCCGACCCCCAAGCACUUAAUUUGGAACCCACUCCUUCUGCCAGCAGCCAACCCUCGUGUGACUCUGUGCUUUGACCCUACGGGGUGCGUCACUGAGGAAAGCCAAUAUUAUGCACCCCCCGAGGGACAUAAGUUCCUAGUCACGGUGAUUAGAGAGGUUACAGGAAGAGACGGUAUUGCAUUACUGGCCGAAUUUCCAGAUUUCCUUUGGCGACAGACAGAACUGGUAGUUCCCCAUACCACCAUUAGGAUUUGCUCUGAGUUCAAGCCAAAGAGCCCAGGGUUCCUGGCCUACACCCUAACGAAGCAAGCCUCCAGCACCGAAGGAGACUGGCAAGACUUGGCCGUGGGUCUAGUCCAAUACGGGAAGGAGUCUGAGGUGAAGAUGGGAUAUCUGGGUGACGCCUCUGAGGAGGAGUGAGAACUGUGGUCCCAGAUGGGGUGCCAGAAAGACUCCAACCUAGGUUUUUGGAUCACCUAGUGGGACAGGUAUGUAAUGUCUAAAGGACCAGUGUUUGAGUAAAUGAGACUCACCAAACUUUCUCCUGACUGAAUCAAUGGAAUCUCCGAUUCUCCUGAGGCAGUUGUUCUCUC